AUGACUCUACUUUCCAGGAUCAUUUCUAUAGUUCUUUAUUACAGAAGUUUCUCAGACUGUGUAGAGCACUGGAAAGCACAAGGAGGUACAGUGUUCUCUCCUGAGCAUGAAGCUGAUGCUGGGUGUUGAUUUGCGCAACUGACCAUCACCAUUGAUAAUCAUUCUUAUUUCACCUUGGGAGAGUUACAGGGAGAGAACGCAGUCUGAGUG
Jaculus jaculus (lesser Egyptian jerboa) is the source of this 210-nucleotide small nucleolar RNA. Its record names the gene U3. It matches the Rfam family "Small nucleolar RNA U3". From Rfam's summary of the family: Small nucleolar RNAs (snoRNAs) are involved in the processing and modification of rRNA in the nucleolus. There are two main classes of snoRNAs: the box C/D class, and the box H/ACA class. NCBI's taxonomy places the organism in Eukaryota, Metazoa, Chordata, Mammalia, Rodentia, Dipodidae. The record is from Ensembl.